Molecule: long non-coding RNA, 4226 nt
Organism: Anguilla rostrata (American eel)
Lineage: Eukaryota; Metazoa; Chordata; Actinopteri; Anguilliformes; Anguillidae
Exons: 2
Source: RefSeq, a predicted model, not a curated record
CAGGCAUGGCCCCACGUUGCACACAGAGGAGGUGCCUUUUUCUAUUUUUUGCCCAUGCCCCUUCGAGAGUCUGUGUACCCCGCUGUUGUGGUCAGAUGGAUUUUAGUUCACGAUCAAAGAAACAUCUGUUUUAAUGACCUGGAUGCACAGUAUGUCUAAAAAAGCAUUCCUGAAAAAACAGCUGUGAUUCAUAUUAGAUUAGUGGAUUACAUUUGUUUCCAACAGUUUUUGGUUCCAACAGGUUUUGACCUGGUCUUGUUAUGUUUACUUUUGGAACCCUGACCUGGACAUAAAAUUGGCCUUGAGGGUCAGCCCGCAUCUGCUGAACGUCUUCCUGGAUUUCUUUGGCACAGGUGUCCUGGGCAGUCUGUCUAUGUUCUGUGCUUUGGAAGGAAAGACAGCAGCUUAAAAUUGCCAAAAUGGUUUGCUACUCAAAUUUCCAUUCUCUGAAUUUAAAACCUUUUCUUACAAUAAUGUGAAGACAGGGGCAUAGUUUGAGUUUGACAUUGAGGUGACACUGGUGGACACAUUUUCUCCCCAGCCCCUAUCCCCCACUCGCCCCCACAGUAAAUAGUGAAAAAUUGUUCAACCAGAGCCAGCUAUGGUCAUUAAAGAUACAGACGCAUGCUAGCCUCAUCCAUUCUCACCUGUAAGAGCUGGCUUGGUUGUUUAUUUUCUUUAAUGUAUGUGAGGUACAGUAUCUCCUGGAGUAAUAGGCUAACAGUAGAAACCUCACCUUACGGGCGGACAUGGUGGCAUAGUGAUUAGCACUGUCACCUCACAGCAAGAAGGUUGUGGGUUCGACUCUUGGCUUUGGGCCUUUCUGUGCGGAGUUGGUUCUCCCAGUGUUCGCAUGGGUUUACUUCGGGUACUCCAUUUUUAAAAACCACACUCAAACCUCCCACACUUAGACAUGCAUGUUAGGUGCACUCCUGCAGGUGCCCUUGACCACGGCACUUGCCUCAGAACUGGAGUUGGUCCCCGGGCACAGCACAAGAGAGGCAGUUGCCCACUGCUCCUAAGGACCUAGGAUGGGUCAAAUGCAGAGAACAAAUUACCCCACGGGGUUCAAUGAAGUAUAUCUUAAGAGGGCACAAUAAUUGAAGUUUCAUGUUUAAUCAGCCUAUUUACACCAUAUUUAACUCUCUGAUUUUGAGAUGUGAAUUAAAUACAUCACAAAUGUUUUGUUUUCUAGAAAUAUAAGCAAAUGCAUACAUAAUAAAUAUGCAGUAAAUGUCAGAGUAUGGAGUGCUAUUGAGCAUACCAACUGAACACCUCACACCACCUCCCCUCCACCUCUCUACACCUCACUCCACCUCUCUACACCUCACUCCACCUCUCUACACCUCACACCAUCUCCCCUCCACCUCACUCCACCUCUCUACACCUCACACCACCUCCCCAUCGCCUCUCUACCCAUCCAAACCCUCUACUGACACACAUGGAAUCUAUCAAAACCUAUUUAUUUAAAUUAACUGAGAACAUGACAUGGAGAAAGACCGAAAGAUAGGAGCUUGUGUUUGAGAGGGAAUUCUUUUCAGUUAGGUGCAGACAUACGUAUGGCAGUCUGUUUCCAUGACGGAAAAGAAAUUAGUUGGGUUGAUUGCAACUUUAUUUCUCACGAUCAAGACUUUCUUAAAACUCUUACUUUUUUCUAGCUAGCAGAACUAGCUAGCAACCAAGGGCUAUCUAAAUGUUACAGCUAAUGUUUAUUGUAGAGUGUGCAUGUUUAGUAGAAAAUAACGUAGCUAACCACAGAAGGGCUUAUGCUAUGUUUUUCGGAUGUCACAGCUUCCAGUAUUGUCUCCAGUGGGUCUAUUUUACUUCAGAACUGCAAGAAAUAAAUUCACAAUUAAGCUGUGGUGGAAAUUUUGAAUUACCCUUUCUCUCUACCAACUUUCACUCUAAAAAUGAAAAUUUAGUCACAAAAACCUCAAUAACACUAACUUCCACACCAUCACCAAAAUGCUGUUUGGUGUAACAUUACGUAAUUGUGAUGUGUACAUGUCCGACAUGGUAAUGCAAUGCAUUGUCUCACAUUGGACUGGAUCUGUUUUUUUGUUGUUGGUACCUCAGAUUUUUUAAAGAUAAAAGUACAUUUCAAAAUUAAAGCACAUGCCCUUUUUAUUGCCUUUGGAAUCAUUAUGUUAUUACUAUUGUUACUGUUAUUACAUUAUGAGCUCAUUGUAGUUAAGAGUCCAGAGGUAAGGUUGCCAUGCUUUUUACUGCUGGCUUAAAUCAUAAUUUGUGUCCUGUUUUUAAUACUGUAAAAUCUAUGUAUUUUGUCUUAGUUGAAUAAUGUGUAAUGCAAGUCAUGGUUUAUACAGAACCAGUAGCUUUCACAAAUGGUGUCUGAUAUGGGGACUGGUUGGCACACAUUUUGAAAUUUUGAAACUAAUGUUUAUACUAUUUGACUGUUCAGCAGAAAGUAAAACUUUUGUGACAUUAUAGGACUAGAAAAAGAUGAAUAUUGCAUGAAAAUUAUAAAUAAAUCUAGUGCCUCUAAAGCAGCCUAUAUCAAAUGAGUGUUGUUUUAACUUUCUUGGUAGCUCUGCAAUGUCUCUGAAUACGACCAUUUGUAUUUAUGAACUUGUCAGCUAAAAAUAAUCUGUUACUAGAUCACUGUUGGCAGAGUACUUAAAAAAUACGCCUGUCUCUGGGCAUCACAGCCGAUUGCACAUCUCAGAAAGGGGCUGCACACUCCAGAGCAUUUGCUGCUUAUUUGCUCUGGAAGGGGGGCUGAAGAGAAAUGUGAGGUUUUCUCAUCGUGGUACCUGCUGGAAUUGUGAAAUAGAAAACUGCGUCAUUGAAUCACGGGAGUACUGGAUCAAAAUGGAAAGGCACUGUUCUUUUGGACUUUAUUGUUUGUUCCUGCCAGCCUUGCUGGUGUGUGUGUCAUCUGGCAGAGAGUGCACAGAGAAGGACAGCCUGCUGACUGAAGUGUCCUCAUAUGUGAAUAUGCCUUCGGAGUGUGUUCUCAGCUGCACUGCGCAUACGUAUAGAGAGAUGUUGAAGAAAAGAGAAGUGCAAACUGUGCGCUUUAAUCCCACAAGCCCAAGUGAGCUGGGACAAUACUGUUGGCCCACACAGAUGAAAUGUGGUCUGGGCGAACGUCUGCAGCAUGCAUAUAUUAUGUUGCCUCUCCAUGAUAGGACACGAGGAGUUAAGGAUUCCUUCGGACUGCGACCCACCUUCCCAGUCCAGCAGGAUUUGCUCCUGCCACAGCACAGACAGACAGUCCUCAGCAAUGACUGUGGCCUCCGCUUUGAUGUCACUAGUCCCUUCAUUGCUAGCGAGUACCAGCCAAUGUUCUGUGUGGAGAUUGUUCCACCGCUCAGCACCCUGGGAAAAGUUCUGAAGUGCCCGCCCUUUCUUGUCACCACUUGGCAGAAGCAGCAUUUGCCGCCAACUUAGCUUUGGGACAGGUUGAUGGACUUGUUUUACUCACCACUGACAGAAUAUUCUAUAACUUGCCUGCAUCCUCUUAAAAUAAAAUACAAAGUUAUCAACCGUGAAUAAUUAUUAGAGUCCAAUAACACAUGGACAAAGUCUAGAUUAAAGCCAUACAAUAAUCUUCAAGCUUCAGAAGUUUUUAGGCACUAUCUUAAGUUUUAUUUGAUUACAUUUGUAUUGCAUGAUUACAAUGACAGAGUAAGAAUUAUGCUUGCAAUCUCAUUAACAUUUGUUUUCAUCUACUUUCCUACAUUGAAUUGAUGUUAACCAUAUACUGAACAUAAAUGGGCAAUAUCACCAAGUCCUUAAAAUCAUCAUGUUAUGUCAAGAUUCUUACAGAUGCUUAUAAGUAUUAUAAAUUGUGUAAAAUUUAUGAAAGCAAAAUUCUUCACAUUUGUAUUGUGCUGCCUUCUAAAUAAGUAAUCAUUUGACAUUUAUUAUAAUUAAGACACAUUAUGCGUAUAAGAAUGUAAUUUUGUUUGGCCUUUGUUCUGUAAAAUUAGAAAAUGAGUUGUCCAGGAGUGAGGGCCUGAGGUAUUGCAGCUGAAAAUGUGAAGCCCUGGACUUAUUCAUAAUUCAUCUUGCAGUGCUGGAUCUUUCGUUGUACAACUGAUUCAGUCUGUGCUUUAUGAGAGAGUGUUGAAAGGUGUGGAUUUGGCUGGGGAGCAGCUAAUUUUAGUGCAAUGAAGCUUAUUUUUACUUAGUGCUUACAAAAUUGAAUUGAGGUAUGAAUGGACUUUGGGAUGGUCAUUAAAUGACAGAUUCAUUUAGAA